UCGAUAUUGUCACACAUGAAAGUGACACCUCUACGCUGAGGCCAUUUUUAAUAACCCACGUGGAGAGAUUCGCUGCCUAGUGAAUAAAACAAACCUCCUACAGUCCUCUAUUGCUAGGCUAUUCUUUUAUCCUCAAUUGGAAGCGACUCGAGCCCGAACUCCUUUCCUUCCUCCCUAACUUUCUUGUUUCGGAGCUCUCCUCGUGAAACGAAACGUUUCAAUUAAUAUUAAUAUUAAUAUUAAUAUAUCAAAUAUUAAUCAUGCCACUUCUAGGUCGAUUCCUCGGAUUCUUAUUUUUUCCCCUUAUUUUCCUUCUUUCUUCAUUUCGAAAAUGAAUAUAAAUUAAUUUUGAAGAUAAUAGAACAUACAUUUUCAAUUCAUUUCAAAUUUUUUGAAUUAUAUUUCAGCGCAUGCGCCGAUGGCUCGACUUUGACAUUACGCGUGGCGUGUUCCUCUAUGUUACGAUUUUGCUCUCUAUCCCGAAUGCCAACUUAACCUCAAAUUUACAAUUUUUUGUUUGGGUAUGACCUACUACGAUACUAUACAUUGUCACGAAAGCAAAGUUUUCGCCUUCUUAUUCGGAAGAAAUGUAUCGGAAUGUAAGAUGCCGGUGGCUCUGUCCUGGGCCACAAGCCAUGAUUGUUUUAAGAGCUUAAAAUAUAUAAUUAUUGACGAAUACAAUUUCGUCACAAAUCAUCAAGCUCCUGCCGAGUCAGUGAGGAGAAGGAGGAAACAGCCAUCCGCUUGUCAGCCCAAGCAGAGUUAUACCAGAUGUGGACCACUGUUGUCACUGCUCUGAAGCUCAACCGUGAUAUAAUAAGAAGUGCCGCAGAUGGACCUCUAAACAUAUCUCGAAUGAGCGGUUCGUGACAGGAGCUUGACGAGCAAAUGAAUCGUUUUACCGAACGCAGCACGGAAGAAUAGAAAAAGAUAUUUAUUUCAGACUGUUAACGAUUGGAUCAGAGCGACAGCGACCAAGUACCGCAUCCUUAGAGCAGCCAGGGAAAUAGGAGAACGAACAAUGAGCCUAUUUUUCAGUGACUCAGAAAAACGCCUCCUACAUCUGAUAGGCUUAA
Venturia canescens is the source of this 1076-nucleotide long non-coding RNA. RefSeq lists it as uncharacterized. The record is from RefSeq and is a predicted model, not a curated record. The transcript has 4 exons. Lineage: Eukaryota; Metazoa; Arthropoda; Insecta; Hymenoptera; Ichneumonidae.